CCUACGGGGGGCAGCAGUGGGGAAUAUUGGACAAUGGGGGGAACCCUGAUCCAGCCAUGCCGCGUGUGUGAAGAAGGCCCUCGGGUUGUAAAGCACUUUCAGUGAGGAAGAACGCCUGGUGGUUAAUACCCAUCAGGAAAGACAUCACUCACAGAAGAAGCACCGGCUAACUCCGUGCCAGCAGCCGCGGUAAUACGGAGGGUGCGAGCGUUAAUCGGAAUUACUGGGCGUAAAGCGCGCGUAGGUGGCUUGAUAAGCCGGUUGUGAAAGCCCCGGGCUCAACCUGGGAACGGCAUCCGGAACUGUCAAGCUAGAGUGCAGGAGAGGAAGGUAGAAUUCCCGGUGUAGCGGUGAAAUGCGUAGAGAUCGGGAGGAAUACCAGUGGCGAAGGCGGCCUUCUGGACUGACACUGACACUGAGGUGCGAAAGCGUGGGUAGCAACAGGAUUAGAUACCCUAGUAGUC
Molecule: ribosomal RNA, 464 nt
Filed under: Vreelandella stevensii
Lineage: Bacteria; Pseudomonadati; Pseudomonadota; Gammaproteobacteria; Oceanospirillales; Halomonadaceae
Description: partial 16S ribosomal RNA
Rfam family: Bacterial small subunit ribosomal RNA
Source: RNAcentral